Molecule: ribosomal RNA, 460 nt
Filed under: uncultured bacterium
Lineage: Bacteria
Description: partial 16S ribosomal RNA
Rfam family: Bacterial small subunit ribosomal RNA
Source: RNAcentral
CCUACGGGAUGCAGCAGUGAGGAAUAUUGGUCAAUGGACGCGAGUCUGAACCAGCCAAGUAGCGUGAAGGAUGACUGCCCUAUGGGUUGUAAACUUCUUUUAUAUGGGAAUAAAAUGUUCCACGUGUGGGCUUUUGUAUGUACCAUAUGAAUAAGGAUCGGCUAACUCCGUGCCAGCAGCCGCGGUAAUACGGAGGAUCCGAGCGUUAUCCGGAUUUAUUGGGGUUAAAGGGAGCGUAGGUGGGUUUUUAAGUCAGUUGUGAAAGUUUGCGGCUCAACCGUAAAAUUGCAGUUGAAACUGGCAGUCUUGAGUACAGUAGAGGUGGGCGGAAUUCGUGGUGUAGCGGUGAAAUGCUUAGAUAUCACGAAGAACUCCGAUUGCGAAGGCAGCUCACUGGACUGCAACUGACACUGAGGCUCGAAAGUGUGGGUAUCAAACAGGAUUAGAUACCCGUGUAGUC